This is a long non-coding RNA of Oncorhynchus keta (chum salmon), 271 nucleotides long. RefSeq lists it as uncharacterized. NCBI's taxonomy places the organism in Eukaryota, Metazoa, Chordata, Actinopteri, Salmoniformes, Salmonidae. The record is from RefSeq and is a predicted model, not a curated record. The transcript is spliced from 4 exons.
GUUUGGUUCAUGGUGGUGGUGAAUAAAGGUGUGUUUGGUUCAUGGUGGUGUUGAAUAAAGGUGUGUUUGGUUCAUGGUGGUGUUGAAUAAAGGUGUGUUUGGUUCAUGGUGUAGAAUAAAGGUGUGUUUGGUUCAUGGUGUUGAAUAAAGGUGUGUUUGGUUCAUGGUGUUGAAUAAAGGUGUGAUUGGUUCAUGGUGGUGUUGAAUAAAGGUGUGUUUAUUUCAUGGUGUUGAAUAAAGGUGUGAUUGGUUCAUGGUGGUGAUGAAUAAA